CCCUUAGAUGUUCUGGGCCGCACGCGCGCUACACUGAUGCAUUCAACGAGUUUCUUCCUGGUCCGAGAGGAAUGGGUAACCUUUUGAAAGUGCAUCGUGAUAGGGAUAGACUAUUGCAAUUAUUGGUCUUCAACGAGGAAUUCCUAGUAGACGUAGUUCAUCAGACUGCAUCGAUUACGUCCCUGCCCUUUGUACACACCGCCCGUCGCUCCUACCGAUUGAAUGGUCCGGUGAAAUCUUGGGAUCCUGUGAGACGGUCUUUAUUGUACUGUUUUGUGGGAGAACUUGAGUAAACCUUACCAUUUAGAGGAAGGUGAAGUCGUAACA
This 327-nucleotide ribosomal RNA is filed under the name uncultured eukaryote. Its description in RNAcentral is "partial 18S ribosomal RNA". It matches the Rfam family "Eukaryotic small subunit ribosomal RNA", at positions 1470 to 1796 of the family's 1831-position model. The record is from RNAcentral.